GACGAACGCUGGCGGCGUGCUUAACACAUGCAAGUCGAACGGUGAAGCUCCAGCUUGCUGGAGUGGAUCAGUGGCGAACGGGUGAGUAACACGUGAGCAACCUGCCCCUGACUCUGGAAUAAGCGCUGGAAACGGCGUCUAAUACUGGAUACGAGAAGGGCCCGCAUGGGCACUUUCUGGAAAGUUUUUCGGUUGGGGAUGGGCUCGCGGCCUAUCAGCUUGUUGGUGAGGUAAUGGCUCACCAAGGCGACGACGGGUAGCCGGCCUGAGAGGGCGACCGGCCACACUGGGACUGAGAAACGGCCCAGCCUCCUACGGGAGGCAGCAGUGGGGAAUAUUGCACAAUGGGCGAAAGCCUGAUGCAGCGACGCCGCGUGAGGGAUGACGGCCUUCGGGUUGUAAACCUCUUUCAGCAGGGAAGAAGCGAAAGUGACGGUACCUGCAGAAGAAGCACCGGCUAACUACGUG
This 468-nucleotide ribosomal RNA is filed under the name uncultured bacterium. Its description in RNAcentral is "partial 16S ribosomal RNA". It matches the Rfam family "Bacterial small subunit ribosomal RNA", at positions 28 to 507 of the family's 1533-position model. The record is from RNAcentral.